RNAcentral lists this ribosomal RNA (425 nucleotides) under uncultured bacterium. RNAcentral describes it as "partial 16S ribosomal RNA". It matches the Rfam family "Bacterial small subunit ribosomal RNA", at positions 354 to 796 of the family's 1533-position model. The record is from RNAcentral.
GUUAGGAAUAUUGGACAAUGGGCGCAAGCCUGAUCCAGCCAUGCCGCGUGAGUGAUGAAGGCCUUCGGGUUGUAAAGCUCUUUAGCCGAUGAUUAUAAUGACUGUAGUCGGAAAAUAAGCCCCGGCUAACUUCGUGCCAGCAGCCGCGGUAAUACGAAGGGGGCGAGCGUUAUUCGGAAUCACUGGGCGUAAAGCGUGCGUAGGCGGUUUUGUAAGUUAGGAGUGAAAGCCCAGGGCUCAACCCUGGAAUUGCUCUUAAAACUACAAGGCUAGAAUGUCGGAGAGGAUAGCGGAAUUUCCAGUGUAGCAGUGAAAUGCGUAGAUAUUAGAAGGAACACCAGUGGCGUAAGCGGCUAUCUGGACGACUAUUGACGCUGAGGCACGAAAGCGUGGGGAUCAAACAGGAUUAGAAACCCCAGUAGUCC